This is an RNA transcript of Mandrillus leucophaeus (drill), 657 nucleotides long. It is a transcript of the gene named vacuolar protein-sorting-associated protein 36 pseudogene, with no coding region annotated. The transcript is spliced from 2 exons. Lineage: Eukaryota; Metazoa; Chordata; Mammalia; Primates; Cercopithecidae. The record is from RefSeq and is a predicted model, not a curated record.
AUGUUGGGAGUACUGAGAUUACAGGCCUUUGAAGACCUCAGCAAACUAAUGAUCAAGGCUAAGGAAAUGGUGGAGUUAUCAAAAUCAAUUGCUAAUAAAAUUAAAGACAAACAAGGUGACAUCACAGAAGAUGAGACCAUCAGGUUUAAAUCCUACUUGCUGAGCAUGGGAAUAGCUAACCCAGUUACCAGAGAAACCCAGGGCUCAGGCACACAGUACCACAUGCAAUUGGCCAAACAGCUGGCUGGAAUAUUGCAGGUGCCUUUAGAGGAGCGAGGGGGAAUAAUGUCACUCACAGAGGUGUACUGCUUAGUAAACCGAGCUCGAGGAAUGGAAUUACUCUCACCAGAAGAUUUAGUGAAUGCGUGCAAGAUGCUGGAAGCACUGAAAUUACCUCUCAGGCUCCGUGUGUUUGACAGUGGCAUCAUGGUAAUUGAGCUUCAGUCUCACAAGGAAGAGGAUAUGGUGGCCUAGGCCCUGGAGACAGUUUCAGAAAAGGGAUCCCUAACAUCGGAAGAGUUUGCUAAGCUUGUGGGAAUGUCUGUCCUUCUAGCCAAAGAAAGGUUGCUGCUUGCAGAGAAGAUGGGCCAUCUUUGCCGUGAUGACUCAGUGGAAGGCCUGCGUUUUUACCCAAGUUUAUUUAUGACACAGAGCUAA